RNAcentral lists this ribosomal RNA (497 nucleotides) under uncultured bacterium. RNAcentral describes it as "partial 16S ribosomal RNA". It matches the Rfam family "Bacterial small subunit ribosomal RNA", at positions 28 to 507 of the family's 1533-position model. The record is from RNAcentral.
GAUGAACGCUGGCGGCGUGCCUAAUACAUGCAAGUCGAGCGAACAGACGAGGAGCUUGCUCCUCUGACGUUAGCGGCGGACGGGUGAGUAACACGUGGAUAACCUACCUAUAAGACUGGGAUAACUUCGGGAAACCGGAGCUAAUACCGGAUAAUAUAUUGAACCGCAUGGUUCAAUAGUGAAAGACGGUUUUGCUGUCACUUAUAGAUGGAUCCGCGCCGCAUUAGCUAGUUGGUAAGGUAACGGCUUACCAAGGCAACGAUGCGUAGCCGACCUGAGAGGGUGAUCGGCCACACUGGAACUGAGACACGGUCCAGACUCCUACGGGAGGCAGCAGUAGGGAAUCUUCCGCAAUGGGCGAAAGCCUGACGGAGCAACGCCGCGUGAGUGAUGAAGGUCUUCGGAUCGUAAAACUCUGUUAUUAGGGAAGAACAAAUGUGUAAGUAACUAUGCACGUCUUGACGGUACCUAAUCAGAAAGCCAAGGCUAACUACGUG